This 468-nucleotide ribosomal RNA is filed under the name uncultured bacterium. Its description in RNAcentral is "partial 16S ribosomal RNA". It matches the Rfam family "Bacterial small subunit ribosomal RNA", at positions 28 to 507 of the family's 1533-position model. The record is from RNAcentral.
GACGAACGCUGGCGGCGUGCUUAACAAAUGCAAUUCGAACGGAAAGGCCCUGCUUUUGUGGGUUGCUCAAGUGGCGAACGGGUGAGUAACACGUGAUUAACCUGCCCUUGACUUUGGGUUAACUUCAGGAAACUGGGGCUAAUACCGGAUAGGAGCUCCGGCUGCAUGGUGGGGGUGGGAAAGUUUCGGCGGUUGGGGAUGGACUCGCGGCUUAUCAGCUUGUUGGUGGGGUAGUGGCUUACCAAGGCUUUGACGGGUAGCCGGCCUGAGAGGGUGACCGGCCACAUUGGGACUGAGAUACGGCCCAGACUCCUACGGGAGGCAGCAGUGGGGAAUAUUGCACAAUGGGCGGAAGCCUGAUGCAGCAACGCCGCGUGCGGGAUGACGGCCUUCGGGUUGUAAACCGCUUUCGCCUGUGACGAAGCGUGAGUGACGGUAAUGGGUAAAGAAGCACCGGCUAACUACGUG